AAUGAACGCUGGCGGCAAGCCUAAAACAUGCAAGUCGAACGCUGUAGCAAUACAGAGUGGCGCACGGGUGAGUAACAUGUGGGAAUAUGCCUUUUGGUACGGAACAACUUUUGGAAACGAAAGCUAAUACCGUAUGGUCCCUUCGGGGUAAAGAUCUAUCGCCAAAAGAUUAGCCCGCACUAGAUUAGCUAGUUGGUGAGGUAACGGCUCACCAAGGCGACGAUCUAUAGCUGUUCUGAGAGGAAGAUCAGCCACACUGGGACUGAGACACGGCCCAGACUCCUACGGGAGGCAGCAGUUAGGAAUAUUGGACAAUGGGCGCAAGCCUGAUCCAGCCAUGCCGCGUGAACGAUGAAGGCCUUCGGGUUGUAAAGUUCUUUAGCCGAUGAUUAUAAUGACUGUAGUCGGAAAAUAAGCCCCGGCUAACUUCGUGCCAGCCGCCGCCGUAA
RNAcentral lists this ribosomal RNA (449 nucleotides) under uncultured bacterium. RNAcentral describes it as "partial 16S ribosomal RNA". It matches the Rfam family "Bacterial small subunit ribosomal RNA", at positions 29 to 523 of the family's 1533-position model. The record is from RNAcentral.